Aegilops tauschii subsp. strangulata is the source of this 1854-nucleotide long non-coding RNA. RefSeq lists it as uncharacterized. The record is from RefSeq and is a predicted model, not a curated record. Lineage: Eukaryota; Viridiplantae; Streptophyta; Magnoliopsida; Poales; Poaceae.
CCGCAUCUGGGUCGGCCCAAGGUCACACAUGGGGGAGCGAGAGGGUGCGCGCUAAAUCUCAUAAAAAAGAGGGUGCGCGUUGCCCACUUUCCCACACGCUCGUCCGGCCGCAACGCCGGCGUCCGCAGGCGGCUGUAGUUCAUGCACCAAGUCGGAGCAUCAUCACUCGCGUGAGAUAUGAGACACAGGAAACGAGGCAAGCCGGAGCAGGGAUGCCGCCCAAGUUGCUACCUGCUACGGACUUGGUGUCCUGGGUUGACCAAACUCUGGCCGCAAAAGAGCUGCUGGGGAUCAAGGUCUACCACAGACUCUGCCUUGAUUAACCUUAAGAAGCAGGUCUGAUGAAGCAAGAGGACGCGAUGACACUGAGAACUGGAGGGGAAAAGCUGAAAGAGAAUACUUCUCGUCUGAUGAGGAUCUGCGCGACGGCUUAUCAAGAAGAAGGAGCUCGUUGAGGAGGGGGUGAUCGUGAUCUUGUCUUUUACUUUGCUGGAAUAGUUGCCUCCUGCGUGAGGUUGGUUCGGGCCUGUUGCUCUGGUUGGAGCCUAUCGUUUGUUUUGGUCUGGUUGUAGACGGUGUUUGAUCUGGUUAGGGCUUGGAUUAUAUAGUGUCGUCGGGUUUUCGCCCACAGUGAGUAAUCUCGAUGACGAGUGCUCAUGGUGGGUUUUCCGGCGAUGCUUGAACCCGCUUUCCUCUUUCCCGCCUUAUUUUCUGGACAAUGGUUGUAUUUCCGUUAUGUCGCAGUAAUGGAAAGGGGUAAUGCCUGGUUAAAAAAAAAAGCACCCAUGUAUAAACACAUGCUUUACAACUUCAAGCUAGUGCUCAAGGAAUAUAUAUUACAGGGUAGAAUCGUACAAGUAGAAAUUUCAGCAGUGCAUUUUGCUCGUUCCUAGCAGUACCAGUUUUUUUUGCGGGCCCUAGCAGUACAAGUUUAACUGUUGUUAGUCCAAGAUGAAAGCAUGUGUAGAGUCAUCAUGUGGCCAGUGUUAUUUCCUGUGCAAUACGGCAGUGUCUUUGAUGUGCACACGACUGGUUGCUGACUAAUUGAAAGGUUACGUAACGGUUUGUUACCUUUCAUGAGUCAAGGUCCACUUGCAUGUAGGCCCGUUGCAAGCUACUGUAGUUAAUGUAGUCAUUGUACAAGAGUGUCGUAACGUGUCUCCCAGUGGCAAGAAUCUACAGCAGGAGAGCUACAUUAUUAACUUGAUUAGAAGCUCUCCUCCAAAGCUGGAGUUGAUUAUAUUACUUGAAAUAUAGUCUGAGUUUUAGGGGAUGACAACAUUAGGAAAGGUUACACAUAUUAAUUAUAGCUGAUUUGAAGACUAAAUGGAGAAGAAUACUAAUGUUUCUAUUUUACUUGAGAGAAAUACCUUGGGUACCUACUUGAGAGAAAAGGUUACCCUUUGCUCUGUAAGGUAAGAGUCGGACUUAUAGGGGAUAUUACCGAAAAAGGGUUUCCCCCGCUUUGUAUACAAAGCAACCAACCAAGACAACCAACGAUAGGUGCUGGGGCGAAACCAGCACAGUCACGCCCAAAAGAAAAAAAAAGAGAAAAUACAAGAGAAACAAAUGCCGACAACGGCGGAUCGACAAAAAAACAAAGAAGCCUCGUGGCCGCUGCAUCCACCGGAGCUCGCCCACCAAGCUCCGAGCCUCUGAAGCGCCGGUACCAAUCAACACCUCCAAGACGGGACGCGACGAUGACGACGCUGAUGCCAAGGGUUUCCCCCGGUACGCUGAGAGGAGAGAGGAAGGGUAGCCCCGACGCCUUCCAGGAAGGUCCGUGUAACACCCACGAUGCGGCUAUAUCUCCCACGUGUCGAGGCACGACUAGAGGCAUAACCGCAUGGUGGU